RNAcentral lists this ribosomal RNA (400 nucleotides) under Liloa porcellana. RNAcentral's name for it is "partial 16S large subunit ribosomal RNA". It matches the Rfam family "Bacterial large subunit ribosomal RNA", at positions 1829 to 2595 of the family's 2925-position model. Lineage: Eukaryota; Metazoa; Mollusca; Gastropoda; Cephalaspidea; Haminoeidae. The record is from RNAcentral.
AGCCCUAAGUAUUGAUUCAGGGUGAUACCUGCCCAAUGAGAAAUUAAAUGGCCGCGGUACUUUGACCGUGCUAAGGUAGCAUAAUCAGUUGACUUUUGAAUGAAGUCUGGAAUGAACGGGGUAACGGAACUCAGCUGUCUCAUCCUUAUUUAAUGAAUUUACUAACUAAGUGAAAAUGCUUAGGAAAGAAAAAAGACGAGAAGACCCUAAGAGUUUACACAUUUUGUUGGGGCGACACAGGAUCAAUUAACAUCCUUGAUUAUAUGUCGGUCAUUUCAUGUGAAGAUAAACUACCUUAGGGAUAACAGCACUAUUCUUUAGAGUUUGUGACCUCGAUGUUGGACUAGGAAGCCUUGGGGCUAGGUGCCUCGAGUGGGGAUUCUGUUCGAAUUUUUACUCC